UGGAUUCGCAAGCAAAACUUUUGGAUUCGCAAGCAAAACUUUUUGAUUCGCAAACAAAACUUUUGGAUUCGCAAACAAAACUUUUGGAUUUGCAAUCAAAACUUUUGGAUUUGCAAACAAAACUUUUGGAUUCCCAUUCAUACAAUUUUUAUCACAUUAAUUUAUCUUGCAAUAAAAUUUUUUUUGAUUGCAGUGUCGAUAGUUAUGCUCUGAAAUCUAUUUUUUGAUUGCAGUGUGGAAAGUUUUGCUCUCAAACCUAUUUUUUGAUUGCAGUGUGGAAAGUUUUGCUCUCAUACCUGUUAUUUUUGAUUGCAUAAUAAAGACACAAAUCUACCUCCAUAUUGAGCAGGCUGAGGACUGUGUGGAUCAUGAGGGCAAUGAACUGUUAUAAACUCCUAGUAACCAAAUCAAAUGUACUGCUGGAGAUUAACCUCCCAGACAUAAGCAAGGUGAUGUUAAAUUCUGGGAGUGCGCCUCUGCAUACAAGCAGAAGUGUAUUUCAGGCUCUACCACACAUUAACAUUAGACCACAGAGCAGCACCAUUACUGGUCAAAUAUACACCAAUUGCAUUAUAUUUAUUUUGUGUUUGCUAACUAUUUAAUUUGUUUUGUUCCUUUGUUUGUUCGAUUAUUGCUUUUCCCUUGGACAGAGGCCAUAAAAAUGCUCCUCAAUGGUAAUUGCUUUGAAUAAAUUAGGAGUAUCAGAGAAUGCUUUUCUAUUAAACGGACAAUGUAAUUGCACUGUUGCUGUAUCAUAAUGUCAGGAGUAGCUUUAUGCUACGUAAAUAACUCUGUACAAUAAGUACUGUUAUGUAAUUAUUUCUUUCUCCACUUGAGGCUGGGAGAUCUUUAUCAUCUAUCAGAUAGUACAACUUUAUACCCAUCAUGCUAUCUUUUCACCCCCUUUUUUUCCAUACCAAACUAAUGUUUUGUGGCAUAGGUUGGUGACCAUGUUAGAAUUAUCUUGUAAGCGUAAACAAUAUUUUUUGUCUUAUCAUAUGUAGGCAUGUGAUUUAUACAUAUUUCAAAGUAUAUAUUUUUUUCUUUUGAUGGUGUUGUUUCUUGCUGGCAAUUUUUUUUACUUUUAAGUCCUAGCUCUGUGCUGGUCAGUAAGUAUUUCUUAGUGACUCUUAAGGGGUACUGUACUGGUGUAUGUGUACAUCACAAGAAUUAGAAGCUGUUUUAACGGACCAGACCUAACACUUGUUUCCCAUGUCCAUUGAAGGCUGGGUAGUUCAGUAGUGAAUGGAAAGAGAGUCGUCCGAUAGACUUGGGUUAUCUGUGAUGACAUUUGCUCCCCCUCUCGACAACUGUUUCUGUGCAGGCACAGUGUGAGCAAUAAAUGUAUGCAAUUGAUUGUAUGUAGUAGACAGUUAGAGAAAACCUUUUUCUAAAAUCUGGACUUUUUGCUUUUAUUUGCCUUAUGUCUUCUUAUGUAUGCUUACACAAUGCUUAGAUUUUUUGUCAUUUUUGGGUUUUUAAUUUUCUGCUUUCAUAUGCUGUAAUCUGUAACAUGUUUUAAUGUCCAAAACAUAGUGAUUAAUUGCUAGCAAUUAGGCAUACUAGUUUGUGAAUAGAGCUAUGACACAGAAUCUACAUAGACAGUGAAUAUGAUUUUAUUUUCAACUAACUAACUAAAUUAAUUGUAUGUAUGUGUGUGUUUGUGUUUAAAUGUGUGAACGUUUUUAUCUAUUUAUUUGAUGUAGCUCCCUGCCUUAACAAGGGGACAACAGAAUUGAGUGGUCAUCACAGCACAAAGUGCUCCAAUAAAGAUAGUGUUCAUCAGUUUGGGGGAGUUUGUGUCCACAUGCUGAAAAAGUAAAACAUGUGUAGGCUUAAAAUCUAUUUAAAAUCUACUCAUAAGACAGAAAUAUGCUUUUUUUUAUAGUUGACAAUACAAAAGUGGCUGUAAUACAUUGCUAACGUUUCAACAUCCCAAAACCUUGUUCUUUAAAUGAAGCCAAAUCAUAUAUCGAUUCGUUUUUUUUUAAAGGAGACAUAUUAUGGUGUUUCUCAACAAGUGAACAUAUUCGAGUUCCAGAAAACAUGUUUUUGAAGCUGUUUGCUGGAAAUUGAUUUUAGGAAAAAAAAUCUCGCCUACCGCUAUUCCCCUUGGUUUCAGUCCCUUCAGAAUGCGCUGUUUCUGGUGUUUCUGUAGCUUUAAUGCAAAGGAGCUGCUGCCCAUUGACCAAUGAGCUGUAAGACUGAACCACAGCAUGGAGGAGAAGGGAUUGUUGCAGUUUGCGGACUCCUGGAGCUCUUUAUCUAUGUAAUAUAAUAAUAAUAUUACAUGGGUAUUUCAUUUUAUAUAAUGUAUCUAAUAUCAUGGCCAAAAGCUUUGUGCACCUCAGCAAUCAUAAAGACUGCGUCUGACGUCUCUGCUCCACAACAAGUAAAGACUCGUAGUGGAGGAUAUCUUGGCCAUGGUUGAGAAGAAUUGGGGGAAAGGAACUUUGGCCUUAACUCUCUGAAGUCCAUGAACCGGGACAUGGCGGAGAAAGGGAUUGUACUCCGGGAGCUGAGCUGUCGGACUGCCGCCCGAGCUCCCCGCGCUGGAGCUGCCGGACUGCCGCCGAGCUCCCCGCGCUGGAGCUGCCGGACUGCCGCUGAGCUCCCCCG
This 2619-nucleotide long non-coding RNA is filed under the name Gadus morhua (Atlantic cod). Its description in RNAcentral is "lncRNA (ENSGMOG00000033854.1)". Lineage: Eukaryota; Metazoa; Chordata; Actinopteri; Gadiformes; Gadidae. The record is from RNAcentral.